UUUUUCCUACGGGACGCAGCAGUGAGGAAUAUUGGUCAAUGGUCGGGAGACUGAACCAGCCAAGCCGCGUGAGGGAUGAAGGUACAGAGUAUCGUAAACCUCUUUUGUCAGGGAGCAAUUGAGUCCACGUGUGGGCUUAGCGAGAGUACCUGAAGAAAAAGCAUCGGCUAACUCCGUGCCAGCAGCCGCGGUAAUACGGAGGAUGCGAGCGUUAUCCGGAUUUAUUGGGUUUAAAGGGUGCGUAGGCGGAAUAUCGAGUCAGCGGUAAAAAUUCGGGGCUCAACCCCGUCGUGCCGUUGAAACUG
RNAcentral lists this ribosomal RNA (305 nucleotides) under uncultured bacterium. Its description in RNAcentral is "bacterial SSU rRNA". It matches the Rfam family "Bacterial small subunit ribosomal RNA", at positions 333 to 635 of the family's 1533-position model. The record is from RNAcentral.